This 133-nucleotide ribosomal RNA is filed under the name uncultured bacterium. RNAcentral's name for it is "partial 16S ribosomal RNA". It matches the Rfam family "Bacterial small subunit ribosomal RNA", at positions 381 to 531 of the family's 1533-position model. The record is from RNAcentral.
ACCUGAUGCAGCGACGCCGCGUGAGUGAAGAAGUAUUUCGGUAUGUAAAGCUCUAUCUUUUGGGAAGAAAAUGACGGUACCUGAUUAAGAAGCCCCGGCUAACUACGUGCCAGCAGCCGCGGUAAUACAAAAA